RNAcentral lists this ribosomal RNA (471 nucleotides) under uncultured bacterium. Its description in RNAcentral is "bacterial SSU rRNA". It matches the Rfam family "Bacterial small subunit ribosomal RNA", at positions 335 to 798 of the family's 1533-position model. The record is from RNAcentral.
ACUCCUACGGGAGGCAGCAGUAGGGAAUAUUGGACAAUGGGCGCAAGCCUGAUCCAGCCAUGCCGCGUGAGUGAAGAAGGCCCUCGGGUUGUAAAGCUCUUUUGUUGGGGAAGAAAAGCCUUGGGUUAAUACCCCGGGGUCCUGACGGUACCCAAAGAAUAAGCACCGGCUAACUUCGUGCCAGCAGCCGCGGUAAUACGAAGGGUGCAAGCGUUACUCGGAAUUACUGGGCGUAAAGCGUGCGUAGGUGGUUCGUUAAGUCUGAUGUGAAAGCCCUGGGCUCAACCUGGGAAUUGCAUUGGAUACUGGCGGGCUAGAGUGCGGUAGAGGGUAGUGGAAUUCCCGGUGUAGCAGUGAAAUGCGUAGAGAUCGGGAGGAACAUCUGUGGCGAAGGCGACUGCCUGGACCAGCACUGACACUGAGGCACGAAAGCGUGGGGAGCAAACAGGAUUAGAUACCCUGGUAGGCUCU